RNAcentral lists this non-coding RNA (95 nucleotides) under uncultured Bacteroides sp. RNAcentral describes it as "TPP riboswitch (THI element)". It matches the Rfam family "TPP riboswitch aptamer (THI element)", at positions 6 to 98 of the family's 105-position model. From Rfam's summary of the family: Vitamin B(1) in its active form thiamin pyrophosphate (TPP) is an essential coenzyme that is synthesised by coupling of pyrimidine and thiazole moieties in bacteria. Lineage: Bacteria; Pseudomonadati; Bacteroidota; Bacteroidia; Bacteroidales; Bacteroidaceae. The record is from RNAcentral.
AACAAAAGGGGUGCUUGUACCAAAAUAGAUGACGCAGGCUGAGAAAUACCCUAUGAACCUGAAGCGGGUAAUGCUGCCGUAGGAAUUUGUUCAUA